UAACGAAUCUUCCGCAAUGCACGAAAGUGUGACGGAGCGACGCCGCGUGGAGGACGAAGUUCUUCGGAAUGUAAACUCCUGUCAGGGGAAAGAAAGUUCUGAUCUACCCCAGAGGAAGAGGCGGCUAACUCUGUGCCAGCAGCCGCGGUAAUACAGAGGCCUCGAGCGUUAGACGGAAUCACUGGGCUUAAAGCGUGUGUGGGCGGAAGGGUAAGUACCUUGUGAAAUCCCACGGCUUAACCGUGGAACGGCUUGGUAUACUGCUUUUCUUGAGCAAUCUAGGGGCGAGUGGAACAGAUGGUGGAGCGGUGAAAUGCGUAGAUAUCAUCUGGAACGCCAAUGGUGAAGACAACUCGCUGGGGAUUUGCUGACGCUGAGACACGAAAGCCAGGGGAGCGAACGGGAUUAGAUACCCGGGUAGUCCCUGAGCGGGCUGGCAAGGCGCAU
This 447-nucleotide ribosomal RNA is filed under the name uncultured bacterium. RNAcentral describes it as "bacterial SSU rRNA". It matches the Rfam family "Bacterial small subunit ribosomal RNA", at positions 355 to 825 of the family's 1533-position model. The record is from RNAcentral.